RNAcentral lists this ribosomal RNA (776 nucleotides) under uncultured Bacteroides sp. RNAcentral describes it as "bacterial SSU rRNA". It matches the Rfam family "Bacterial small subunit ribosomal RNA", at positions 73 to 849 of the family's 1533-position model. Lineage: Bacteria; Pseudomonadati; Bacteroidota; Bacteroidia; Bacteroidales; Bacteroidaceae. The record is from RNAcentral.
GUAGCGAUACGCUGAUGGCGACCGGCGCACGGGUGCGUAACGCGUAUGCAACCUGUCCGGCGCAGGGGGGUAGCCCGUCGAAAGGCGGGGUAAUCCCGCAUGAACCGGUAUUCCCGCAUGGGGGUGCCGGCAAAGUGGAGACGCGGGGCCGGAGGGGCAUGCGUGCCAUUAGCUGGCUGGAGGGGUAACGGCCCACCAGGGCGAUGAUGGCUAGGGGGUCUGAGAGGAUGGUCCCCCACACUGGUACUGAGACACGGACCAGACUCCUACGGGAGGCAGCAGUGAGGAAUAUUGGUCAAUGGGCGGAAGCCUGAACCAGCCAUGCCGCGUGCAGGAAGGAGGCCCUACGGGUUGUAAACUGCUUUUACCCGGGAAGAAACCGCCCCCUGUGGGGGGCGUUGCCGGUACCGGGGGAAAAAGGAUCGGCUAACUCCGUGCCAGCAGCCGCGGUAAUACGGAGGAUCCGGGCGUUAUCCGGAAUUACUGGGUUUAAAGGGUGCGUAGGCGGGGCUUUAUGCCGGCGGUGAAAUGCAGCGGCUCAACCGCUGGAAUGCCGUUGGGACUGGGGCUCUUGGAUACGGUCGGGGCGGGUGGAACUCGUGGUGUAGCGGUGAAAUGCAUAGAUAUCACGAGGAACGCCGGUAGCGAAGGCAGCUCGCCGGGCCGGUAUUGACGCUGAGGCACGAAAGCGUGGGGAUCGAACAGGAUUAGAUACCCUGGUAGUCCACGCCGUAAACGAUGAUGGCUGGGUGUUGGCGAUAGACGGUCAGCGCCUG